This 70-nucleotide transfer RNA is filed under the name Camelus dromedarius (Arabian camel). It matches the Rfam family "tRNA". From Rfam's summary of the family: Transfer RNA (tRNA) molecules are approximately 80 nucleotides in length. Their secondary structure includes four short double-helical elements and three loops (D, anti-codon, and T loops). Further hydrogen bonds mediate the characteristic L-shaped molecular structure. tRNAs have two regions of fundamental functional importance: the anti-codon, which is responsible for specific mRNA codon recognition, and the 3' end, to which the tRNAs corresponding amino acid is attached (by aminoacyl-tRNA synthetases). tRNAs cope with the degeneracy of the genetic code in two manners: having more than one tRNA (with a specific anti-codon) for a particular amino acid; and 'wobble' base-pairing, i.e. permitting non-standard base-pairing at the 3rd anti-codon position. RNAcentral also lists the same sequence under 1 other name. Lineage: Eukaryota; Metazoa; Chordata; Mammalia; Artiodactyla; Camelidae. The record is from Rfam by way of RNAcentral.
GGUGGUAGCCCAGUGGUAGAGCGUGUGCUUAGCGAGCACAAGGUCCUGGGUUCAGUCCCCAGUGCCUCCA